CUGGAUGAUUGCAGCAGCAACAAAGGGGUGAUUGCAGCCUGCUACCUAAAACCAGCCGGAUUUCCCUAUGACCAGAGCUGCAGGUGGCCACUGUCUCAAGUGAUGGUUUUGCAAUGYGGCUGGAGCCAAAUUAAGAUUUUGCUGCUAAAAGGGUACUGCUGGGGGAGACCUAGCCUCGAAGAAGCUCCACUGCCUGUCAGCGGAGCCAAGAUGCUGAGCACAUCUGCCCUUGCUAGCACAGAGCAAAUGACUCCGCUCACAUUCAGCAGUUCAUCAGAGUGCAGCGACUCAGUCCUGUGGCCAAGUGUGACAGCAUGUGUGCACCACGUGGGGACGUGCAGCAGGAAAAUGUAAUGCCAGGGAAAAUAAGGAAAAGCAGCUUCCCUCAGUCGUCUGGAGACGCCCCAUGCCCUGCUCUCUGUUCCGCUGCACUCCCAGCCCCAGGGCCUGAGAUAGUCUGGUGUCUCCUGGCGAGAGCAUCCAUCAGAGCUGGACUACCACAGUGAGAGAGAUCCUGGCUAUGGCUGCAGCUCAGUCCUCCCAUCUCCGCUUUGUCCUCCAGCUGCUCAGAGGAGACCCGGUUCAGGCCAUAAGGAAAAGGUUAAUCUCCCCUGCACACGCUGGAGGGACAGGACCKCUUGCUGCUGGACCGCCGUGGUGGUACCCAGAGGCACCCUCCUGUACGCUGACCCUCGCUGCUGUGAUGCGUUUUGAGAGAUGCUACAAAUCUGCACUGCACAAAUGUCCUGCUGCUCUUGGAGUGAGUUUGUACCUGUGCGUUAAAGAAGGGGGGACGGUCCCUGCUGAGCUGCUACCUUGAGCGUGCUCUGGCCCUGCGCAGCCUGUGCCCAGACCUGCAAAGGAUACGGAGGGGAUGGGAGCUGCAGUGCUCUGGAGCCAUCCCAUGCUGUGCCUGGCCCCGAGCUGAACAGCGCUGCUCUCCCGCAGCACUCCCUGGGGAAUAAUCCGGCAUGCAGCCUGCUGGCUCUGSCCUUGGCUCUGCUUGGGCCACAGACUGAGAACAGGGAGGAGACAGGGAUAGGGAGGGAAUUGCACCCUUUUUCAAGUACCUAUUCUCUGCCAGGGUGAGUUAAAGUGGCUUUUGUGGAGCUGAGAACAAAGGCUGCUAUAUUUCUGCAAACUUUGUUGGGCUGGACCUGCCCCAUGGUUUGUCACCUCUCCCGCAGGACAGUCUGUAAACAGAGACAACCAUACAGUAGGCCCCUGUUACACAGACUUUUUAUACAUAUUCUUCUGUGGUUUUGGCCUCUAAACAGGGCCAUAUUUUAAUCUCUUAAACAGACUUCAUCUCCCAUUAUUCCUUCCCCAAAUAUUUUAUGUGCAACUGGAGGCCUGGGAGCAGGCCAGCACCAGAGGCGCCCAGCCAAGGCGAGCGGAGGGGCUGGAUGGUGGCAAGGCAGAGGGAGGUGCAGCCCGACCCUUUCAGCCUCCUGUUUGCUUUGGUAGCUGCCCCUAUUUACCUCAAGCACCUCAAUAAAACCCAUGUUUGUUAAAGAUUAAAUGCUGUC
This 1529-nucleotide long non-coding RNA is filed under the name Dromaius novaehollandiae (emu). RNAcentral describes it as "lncRNA (ENSDNVG00000000711.1)". The record is from RNAcentral. Lineage: Eukaryota; Metazoa; Chordata; Aves; Casuariiformes; Dromaiidae.